UGGGAUUCUAACAUUGUCCUCCUAUCAAGA
This 30-nucleotide non-coding RNA is filed under the name Mus musculus (house mouse). Lineage: Eukaryota; Metazoa; Chordata; Mammalia; Rodentia; Muridae. The record is from RNAcentral.